GACGAACGCUGGCGGCGUGCUUAACACAUGCAAGUCGAACGGUGAAGCGCCUUCCUUUUUGGUGGGUGUGGAUGAGUGGCGAACGGGUGAGUAACACGUGAGUAACCUGCCCCCUUCUUCUGGAUAACCGCAUGAAAGUGUGGCUAAUACGGGAUAUUCUGGGUCUGUCGCAUGAUGGGUAUGGGAAAGAUAUUGUUUCGGUGGGGGAUGGGCUCGCGGCCUAUCAGCUUGUUGGUGGGGUGAUGGCCUACCAAGGCGGUGACGGGUAGCCGGCCUGAGAGGGUGGACGGUCACACUGGGACUGAGCCACGGCCCAGACUCCUACGGGAGGCAGCAGUGGGGAAUAUUGCACAAUCGGCGCAAGCCUGAUGCAGCGACGCCGCGUGAGGGAUGGAGGCCUUCGGGUUGUGAACCUCUUUCGCCAGUGAAGCAGGCCUGCCUCGUUUGUGGGUGGGUUGACGGUAGCUGGAUAAGAAGCGCCGGCUAACUACGUG
RNAcentral lists this ribosomal RNA (494 nucleotides) under uncultured bacterium. RNAcentral's name for it is "partial 16S ribosomal RNA". It matches the Rfam family "Bacterial small subunit ribosomal RNA", at positions 28 to 507 of the family's 1533-position model. The record is from RNAcentral.